Molecule: ribosomal RNA, 460 nt
Filed under: uncultured bacterium
Lineage: Bacteria
Description: partial 16S ribosomal RNA
Rfam family: Bacterial small subunit ribosomal RNA
Source: RNAcentral
CCUACGGGAGGCAGCAGUGAGGAAUAUUGGUCAAUGGUCGUAAGACUGAACCAGCCAAGUCGCGUGAGGGAUGACGGCCCUAUGGGUUGUAAACCUCUUUUAUGAGGGAAUAAAGUGCGUCACGUGUGAUGUUUUGUAGGUACCCCAUGAAUAAGGAUCGGCUAAUUCCGUGCCAGCAGCCGCGGUAAUACGGAGGGUCCGGGCGUUAUCCGGAUUUAUUGGGUUUAAAGGGUGCGUAGGCGGCAUGUUAAGCCGGCCGUGAAAUGCCGUGGCUCAACCAUAGCAUUGCGGUGGGAACUGGCUGGCUUGAGUGCGCGUGACGUAUGCGGAAUGCGUGGUGUAGCGGUGAAAUGCAUAGAUAUCACGCAGAACUCCGAUUGCGAAGGCAGCAUACCGGCGCGCUACUGACGCUGAUGCACGAAAGCGUGGGUAUCGAACAGGAUUAGAUACCCCUGUAGUC